RNAcentral lists this ribosomal RNA (468 nucleotides) under uncultured bacterium. RNAcentral's name for it is "partial 16S ribosomal RNA". It matches the Rfam family "Bacterial small subunit ribosomal RNA", at positions 28 to 507 of the family's 1533-position model. The record is from RNAcentral.
GACGAACGCUGGCGGCGUGCUUAACACAUGCAAGUCGAACGGUGAAGCUCCAGCUUGCUGGAGUGGAUCAGUGGCGAACGGGUGAGUAACACGUGAGCAACCUGCCCCUGACUCUGGGAUAAGCUCUGGAAACUGCGGCUAAUACUGGAUACGAGAAGGGUCCGCAUGGGCACUGUCUGGAAAGUUCUGCGGUUGGGGAUGGGCUCGCGGCCUAUCAGCUUGUUGGUGAGGUAAUGGCUCACCAAGGCGACGACGGGUAGCCGGCCUGAGAGGGUGACCGGCCACACUGGGACUGAGACACGGCCCAGACUCCUACGGGAGGCAGCAGUGGGGAAUAUUGCACAAUGGGCGAAAGCCUGAUGCAGCGACGCCGCGUGAGGGAUGACGGCCUUCGGGUUGUAAACCUCUUUCAGCAGGGAAGAAGCGAAAGUGACGGUACCUGCAGAAGAAGCACCGGCUAACUACGUG